Molecule: ribosomal RNA, 485 nt
Filed under: uncultured bacterium
Lineage: Bacteria
Description: bacterial SSU rRNA
Rfam family: Bacterial small subunit ribosomal RNA
Source: RNAcentral
GAUGAACGCUAGCGGCAGGCCUAACACAUGCAAGUCGAGGGGCAUCACGGAUUGCUUGCAAUCUGGUGGCGACCGGCGCACGGGUGCGUAACGCGUAUACAACCUACCUUUUAGCGGGGAAUAGCCCAGGGAAACUUGGAUUAAUGCCCUAUAGUAUAUGAACUUCUCCUGAAGUUUAUAUUAAACAUUUAUGGCUAUUAGAUGGGUAUGCGUCCUAUUAGUUAGUUGGUAAGGUAACGGCUUACCAAGGCAGCGAUAGGUAGGGGUCCUGAGAGGGAGAUCCCCACACUGGUACUGAGACACGGACCAGACUCCUACGGGAGGCAGCAGUGAGGAAUAUUGGACAAUGGGCGAGAGCCUGAUCCAGCCAUGCCGCGUGCAGGAAGACUGCCCUAUGGGUUGUAAACUGCUUUUACAGAGGAAGAACCACCCCCACGUGUGGGGGUUUGACGGUACACUGCGAAUAAGGAUCGGCUAACUCCGUG